Molecule: unclassified non-coding RNA, 648 nt
Filed under: Hevea brasiliensis (rubber tree)
Lineage: Eukaryota; Viridiplantae; Streptophyta; Magnoliopsida; Malpighiales; Euphorbiaceae
Source: RNAcentral
CCAAAUUUUCUCCGCCUAAAAUUCUUCCCUCUGACAACCAUUAAACGAACACAGGCCACAACCAAUAAUCGCAACUACUACGUUGCUACAGAUCUCAAAAAAUGGCAACGUUUGAGCUUUACAGAAGAUCGACUAUUGGCAUGUGCUUGACAGAGACUCUAGAUGAGAUGGUUCAAAGCGGUACUCUCAGCCCGGAGCUAGCUAUUCAGGUUCUAGUCCAGUUUGACAAGUCUAUGACUGAAGCUUUGGAGAGUCAAGUUAAGAGCAAAGUUUCCAUUAAGGGACACUUGCACACCUACAGAUUUUGCGACAAUGUCUGGACUUUCAUUCUAACAGAUGCAUUGUUUAAGAAUGAAGAUUUGCAGGAGAAUGUUGGUCGAGUUAAAAUAGUGGCAUGUGACUCAAAGCUGCUUACACAAUGAUGUAAUAGAAAUCUGUCUUAUGGUAGCAAAGAUGGACGGCAGCGAGGAAGAAACUUUAGUUUUAGCUACUAUGGACGAUUGAACAUUAGCUGUAUAGCCCAACCUUUUGAAACUAUUGUUAUUUGCUGACACAUUUGAUGAUGGUGCAUCUCUCGAGAGGAACACUUUUGGAGAUGGACACUGGUGAUAAAUCAUGAAAACCACGAAUUAUAUAAUAGUGGCGCAC